GUUUGUCGGCUUAGACCUGGUGUCAUUCCAUCAGUGUUAAACUUCCCGGCUCAUCUUGGAAGAGUACGUGCCAGAAAGACCACGACCAAGCAGCCUUGAGAUCUUAGGCAGCGUCUCCCUGAGGUCCCUCUCUAUCUCCACACAUCCACCAACCACUGGAACACAUCUCCAAAGUUCUGCUGGACCAGCUCAGCUUCCCCUCAGAAGAAGUGCUGCCACCUGCCAGAUGAAGGAGCCUUUUGAGAGGCAGCUGGCAUCGUGAUUGGACUGUACUUUGGUCUGUUCCAAUCCAGCUUCAGCUCCAGAGACGGCAGGCGGGACGAGUCAACGGAGGCCGGGUGGACGAAGGCAUGCAGCUGAGUACAAUCCAGAAAACAACAGUGGAG
Amphiprion ocellaris (clown anemonefish) is the source of this 386-nucleotide long non-coding RNA. The record is from Ensembl. Lineage: Eukaryota; Metazoa; Chordata; Actinopteri; Pomacentridae.